This 517-nucleotide ribosomal RNA is filed under the name uncultured Entrophospora. Its description in RNAcentral is "SSU rRNA". It matches the Rfam family "Eukaryotic small subunit ribosomal RNA", at positions 569 to 1083 of the family's 1831-position model. Lineage: Eukaryota; Fungi; Glomeromycota; Glomeromycetes; Entrophosporales; Entrophosporaceae. The record is from RNAcentral.
AGCAGCCGCGGUAAUUCCAGCUCCAAUAGCGUAUAUUAAAGUUGUUGCAGUUAAAAAGCUCGUAGUUGAAUUUCGGGAUUGACGUGACGGUCGUGCCUUAAGGGGUAUGAACUGUUACAGUCAAUUUCUCACCUUCUGGAGAAAUAUGAUGUCCUUAAUUGGGUGUCAUAUGGAACCAGGACUUUUACCUUGAAAAAUUAGAGUGUUUAAAGCAAGCUUAUUGCUCGAAUACAUUAGCAUGGAAUAAUAAAAUAGGACGGCAUGAUUCUAUUUUGUUGGUUUCUAGGAUCACCGUAAUGAUUAAUAGGGAUAGUUGGGGGCAUUAGUAUUCAAUUGUCAGAGGUGAAAUUCUUGGAUUUAUUGAAGACUAACUACUGCGAAAGCAUUUGCCAAGGAUGUUUUCAUUAAUCAAGAACGAAAGUUAGGGGAUCGAAGACGAUCAGAUACCGUCGUAGUCUUAACCAUAAACUAUGCCGACUAGGAAUCAGACGAUGUUAAUUUUUAAUGACUCGUUUGG